AAUUUUAAGGAAGAAUUAAUAAAUCAAUUAAAAGAUAAAAAACAAGAACUGGAGGAUAUAAGGAAAGAAAAGAUGAAGGGUAAAUUAAUACGUUCAAGGGUAAAAUGGAUUGAGGAAGGAGAAAAGCCAACUAAAUAUUUUUGUGGUCUUGAGUCAAAAAAUUUUACUAGUAAAAUUAUACCAAAAGUCGAAACAGAAGAUGGAA
This 205-nucleotide long non-coding RNA is filed under the name Mytilus galloprovincialis (Mediterranean mussel). Lineage: Eukaryota; Metazoa; Mollusca; Bivalvia; Mytilida; Mytilidae. The record is from RNAcentral.